Molecule: ribosomal RNA, 253 nt
Filed under: uncultured bacterium
Lineage: Bacteria
Description: partial 16S ribosomal RNA
Rfam family: Bacterial small subunit ribosomal RNA
Source: RNAcentral
UACGGAGGGUGCGAGCGUUAAUCGGAAUUACUGGGCGUAAAGCGCGCGUAGGCGGUUCGAUAAGUCAGAUGUGAAAUCCCCGGGCUCAACCUGGGAAUGGCAUUUGAUACUGUCAGACUAGAGUGUGGUAGAGGGAAGUGGAAUUCCGCAUGUAGCGGUGAAAUGCGUAGAUAUGCGGAGGAACACCAGUGGCGAAAGAGGCUUCCGGGACCAACAAUGACGAUGAGGUGCGAAAGCGUGGGGAGCAAACAGG